AGUUUGAUCCUGGCUCAGGAUGAACGCUAGCGACAGGCUUAACACAUGCAAGUCGAGGGGCAGCACGGGUGUAGCAAUACACCUGGUGGCGACCGGCGCACGGGUGAGUAACGCGUAUGCAACUUACCCAUCAGCGGAGGAUAGCCCGGCGAAAGUCGGAUUAAUACUCCAUAAAACAGGGGUCCCGCAUGGGGCUAUUUGUUAAAGACUUGAUUGCUGAUGGAUAGGCAUGCGUUCCAUUAGGCAGUUGGCGGGGUAACGGCCCACCAAACCGACGAUGGAUAGGGGUUCUGAGAGGAAGGUCCCCCACACUGGUACUGAGACACGGACCAGACUCCUACGGGAGGCAGCAGUGAGGAAUAUUGGUCAAUGGGCGAGAGCCUGAACCAGCCAAGUCGCGUGAAGGAUGAAGGAUCUAUGGUUUGUAAACUUCUUUUAUAAGGGGGUAAAGUCGGGCAUUGAUGCCCGUUUGCAAGUACCUUAUGAAUAAGCAUCGGCUAACUCCGUGCC
RNAcentral lists this ribosomal RNA (510 nucleotides) under uncultured bacterium. RNAcentral describes it as "bacterial SSU rRNA". It matches the Rfam family "Bacterial small subunit ribosomal RNA", at positions 10 to 509 of the family's 1533-position model. The record is from RNAcentral.